AUUUAUAUAGUUUAUUAAAACAUUACAUUUUCAUUGUAAAAAUAAAACAAUAGUUUUUAUAAAUA
RNAcentral lists this transfer RNA (65 nucleotides) under Climacia areolaris. RNAcentral's name for it is "tRNA-Glu". The record is from RNAcentral. Lineage: Eukaryota; Metazoa; Arthropoda; Insecta; Neuroptera; Sisyridae.